Molecule: ribosomal RNA, 253 nt
Filed under: uncultured bacterium
Lineage: Bacteria
Description: partial 16S ribosomal RNA
Rfam family: Bacterial small subunit ribosomal RNA
Source: RNAcentral
UACGAAGGGUGCAAACGUUGCUCGGAAUCAUUGGGCGUAAAGAGCGCGCAGGCGGCUUGGCAAGUCGGGUGUGAAAUCCCGGGGCUCAACCCCAGGACUGCAUUCGAUACUGUCAGGCUAGAGGUAGGUAGGGGAGAUCGGAAUUCCUGGUGUAGCGGUGAAAUGCGCAGAUAUCAGGAGGAACACCGGUGGCGAAGGCGGAUCUCUGGGCCUUACCUGACGCUCAGGCGCGAAAGCUAGGGGAGCGAACAGG